RNAcentral lists this ribosomal RNA (419 nucleotides) under uncultured bacterium. RNAcentral describes it as "bacterial SSU rRNA". It matches the Rfam family "Bacterial small subunit ribosomal RNA", at positions 356 to 772 of the family's 1533-position model. The record is from RNAcentral.
AAGGAAUAUUGGUCAAUGGGCGCAAGCCUGAACCAGCCAUGCCGCGUGCAGGAAGACGGCCCUACGGGUUGUAAACUGCUUUUGUACCGGAAUAAACCUUUCUUCGUGAAGAGAGCUGAAUGUACGGUAAGAAUAAGGAUCGGCUAACUCCGUGCCAGCAGCCGCGGUAAUACGGAGGAUCCAAGCGUUAUCCGGAUUUAUUGGGUUUAAAGGGUGCGUAGGUGGCCUAUUAAGUCAGGGGUGAAAGACGGUAGCUUAACUAUCGCAGUGCCUUUGAUACUGAUGGGCUUGAAUACAGAUGAAGUGGGCGGAAUGUGACAAGUAGCGGUGAAAUGCAUAGAUAUGUCACAGAACACCGAUUGCGAAGGCAGCUCACUAAAUUGUGAUUGACACUGAGGCACGAAAGCGUGGGGAUCAAA